UACGUAUGGAGCGAGCGUUGUCCGGAAUUAUUGGGCGUAAAGGGUGCGCAGGCGGCUUUACAAGUUGGAUGUGAAAUAUUGUGGCUCAACCACAAACGUGCAUCCAAAACUGCAAAGCUUGAGUUAAGGAGAGGUAAGUGGAAUUCCUGGUGUAGCGGUGGAAUGCGUAGAUAUCAGGAGGAAUACCGGUGGCGAAGGCGACUUACUGGACUUAAACUGACGCUCAGGCACGAAAGCGUGGGGAGCAAACAGGAUUAGAUACCCUGGUAGUCAAGGGCG
This 279-nucleotide ribosomal RNA is filed under the name uncultured Clostridiaceae bacterium. RNAcentral's name for it is "partial 16S ribosomal RNA". It matches the Rfam family "Bacterial small subunit ribosomal RNA", at positions 524 to 802 of the family's 1533-position model. Lineage: Bacteria; Bacillati; Bacillota; Clostridia; Eubacteriales; Clostridiaceae. The record is from RNAcentral.